AUUGAACGCUGGCGGCAGGCCUAACACAUGCGAGUCGAGCGGAUGAACGGUGCGUGCUCCUGGAUUCAGCGGCGGACGGGCGAGUAGUUCCGAAGAAUCUGCCUGUUAGCUUUUUAUAACGUCCGGACACGGGCGCUAAUACCGCAUACGUCCUUACGGCCUAAGGGGGGGAGCAUCGGACCUUACGCUAUCACGUGAGCCUAGGUCGGAUUAGCUAGUUGGUGGGGUAAAGGCCUACCAAGGCGACGAUCCGUAGCUGGUCUGAGAGGAUGAUCAGUCACACUGGAACUGAGACACGGUCCAGACUCCUACGGGAGGCAGCAGUGGGGAAUAUUGGACAAUGGGCGCAAGCCUGAUCCAGCCAUGCCGCGUGUGUGAAGAAGGUCUUCGGAUUGUAAAGCCCUUUUAGUUGGGAAGAAGAGCAGUAAGUUAAUACCUCGCUGUUUUGACGUUACCAAAAGAAUAAGCACCGGCUAACUUCGUG
RNAcentral lists this ribosomal RNA (484 nucleotides) under uncultured bacterium. RNAcentral describes it as "partial 16S ribosomal RNA". It matches the Rfam family "Bacterial small subunit ribosomal RNA", at positions 30 to 507 of the family's 1533-position model. The record is from RNAcentral.